RNAcentral lists this long non-coding RNA (1083 nucleotides) under Marmota monax (woodchuck). The record is from RNAcentral. Lineage: Eukaryota; Metazoa; Chordata; Mammalia; Rodentia; Sciuridae.
GGGGAUGUGGAUCAAGCGGUAGCGUGCUCGCUUGGCAUGCGUGCGGCCCGGGUUCGAUCCUCAGCACCACAUACAAACAAAGAUGUUGUGUCCGCCGAAAACUAAAAAACAAAUAUUAAAAAAUUCUCUCUCUCUCUCUCUUCUCUCUCCUCUCUCCCUCUCUCUCUCUCUCUCCUCUCUCUCUCUCUCUCUCUCUCUUAAAAAAAAAAACAUUUAUGUUCUCAAUAAAUGGCAUCUAUUGAACCAAUGGAAUUCCAUCUUUAAGGAUGGAAUAGUGGACUAUACAUGUGAAAAUUCAGUGCACAUAACUGAUGAAAUAAUUUUCGCUACAGCACAGAAACAAUUAACACAAGUCUACUAAGCUGAUUAUCCUGUUUUCCCACCUAUCCCUGCAACAACUAAUUAUAAUUUGCACUUGAGACCUGAUAAUAUGAGCUGUAUUCAUUAAUAUAGCUCCAGAAUAUUUUGUAUGUGUGUAAUCAUCUAUGUUAUUUGAAAACCCUAUUUUUUAGUGUCUACUUUUCAUAGCAAUAAAAGUGGACUGUUAACAAGUUUACUGGGUCCAGUCUCAAAGCCAACCUCUGAAGUGUUCAUUAUAGCUCAUCAAAGCAGAAUAAAAAGUAACUUACUGCACAGAGCAUUCAGAAGACAUCUGUUCAGUUAAUCUAGAUGAUCAGUUGUCCUCAUUAUACACUUAUGAACUGCACAUUUGACCUAUAACUUAUGCCCAAACUUUACCCUGUGAUUCGUGCCAAAUAAGGAUAUUUGGUUUGAAAACCAAAAAUAAAAGACUUCUACAGAUUAAAAGGAAAUAUGCAUAUUAAAAAUUUAUUUUAUUAACCAUGUAACUAAAUCUUAAGUAUUUUAAUUUUUUUUAAAGGUAGAAGCCACGUACAUUUUUCACACUGUUCAAAGACAUGCAGAGUAUUUGUCCCAAAAAGUAGGGCAGCUUGAGCCCUUUCCUUCACCUCUUCAAUGUGAGAAGUUCAGCAAUGGCUCCAGCAUGCUCCCAUCAUCCCUCUGCUGAGGAAGGUAGGAAAGCAGGAGUCGGUGAGGCUUUACUCAGACAUAAGUCACUUCAGG